UCAUGCAAAAAACUGUCUUUUAUUUAAGGAUAGUGAUCAUAUGAAGCCAUUUAUUAUCACAUAGUUGUUUGGCUCCUUUUUAAAUCAUAAUGAUAACAGAAAUCACCCAAAUGGCCCUGAUCAAAAGUUUACAUACCCUUGAAUGUUUGGCCUUGUUACAGACACACAAGGUGACACACACAGGUUUAAAUGGCAAUUAAAGGUUAAUUUCCCACACCUGUGGCUUUUUAAAUUGCAAUUAGUUUCUGUGUAUAAAUAAACAAUGAGUUUGUUAGCUCUCACGUGGAUGCACUGAGCAGGCUAGAUACUGAGCCAUGGGGAGCAGAAAAGAACUGUCAAAAGACCUGCGUAACAAGGUAAUGGAACUUCAUAAAGAUGGAAAAGGAUAUAAAAAGAUAUCCAAAGCCUUGAAAAUGCCAGUCAGUACUGUUCAAUCACUUAUUAAGAAGUGGAAAAUUCGGGGAUCUCUUGAUACCGAGCCAAGAUCAGGUAGACCAAGAAAGAUUUCAGCCACAACUGCCAGAAGAAUUGUUCGGGAUACAAAGAAAAACC
This is a long non-coding RNA of Myxocyprinus asiaticus (Chinese sucker), 552 nucleotides long. RefSeq lists it as uncharacterized. Lineage: Eukaryota; Metazoa; Chordata; Actinopteri; Cypriniformes; Catostomidae. The transcript is spliced from 3 exons. The record is from RefSeq and is a predicted model, not a curated record.